Molecule: ribosomal RNA, 468 nt
Filed under: uncultured bacterium
Lineage: Bacteria
Description: partial 16S ribosomal RNA
Rfam family: Bacterial small subunit ribosomal RNA
Source: RNAcentral
GACGAACGCUGGCGGCGUGCUUAACACAUGCAAGUCGAACGGAAAGGCCCUGCUUUUGUGGGGUGCUCGAGUGGCGAACGGGUGAGUAACACGUGAGUAACCUGCCCUUGACUUUGGGAUAACUUCAGGAAACUGGGGCUAAUACCGGAUAGGAGCUCCUGUUGCAUGGUGGGGGUUGGAAAGUUUCGGCGGUUGGGGAUGGACUCGCGGCUUAUCAGCUUGUUGGUGGGGGAGUGGCUUACCAAGGCUUUGAAGGGUAGCCGGCCUGAGAGGGUGACCGGCCACAUUGGGACUGAGGUACGGCCCAGACUCCUACGGGAGGCAGCAGUGGGGAAUAUUGCACAAUGGGCGGAAGCCUGAUGCAGCAACGCCGCGUGCGGGAUGACGGCCUUCGGGUUGUAAACCGCUUUCGCCUGUGACGAAGCGUGAGUGACGGUAAUGGGUAAAGAAGCACCGGCUAACUACGUG